This 501-nucleotide ribosomal RNA is filed under the name uncultured bacterium. RNAcentral describes it as "bacterial SSU rRNA". It matches the Rfam family "Bacterial small subunit ribosomal RNA", at positions 30 to 520 of the family's 1533-position model. The record is from RNAcentral.
AUUGAACGCUGGCGGCAUGCCUUACACAUGCAAGUCGAACGGCAGCACGGGUGCUUGCACCUGGUGGCGAGUGGCGAACGGGUGAGUAAUAUAUCGGAACGUACCUUAUCGUGGGGGAUAACGCAGCGAAAGCUGCGCUAAUACCGCAUACGCCCUGAGGGGGAAAGCGGGGGACCGUAAGGCCUCGCGCGAUUAGAGCGGCCGAUAUCUGAUUAGCUUGUUGGUGGGUAAAAGCCACCAAGGCGACGAUGCAUAGCCGAACUGAGAGGUUAAUCGGCCACAUUGGGACUGAGACACGGCCCAAACUCCUACGGGAGACAGCAGUUAGGAAUAUUCGUCAAUGGGGGAAACCCUGAACGAGCAAUGCCGCGUGAGUGAUGACGGUCCUCUGGAUUGUAAAAACUCUGUUGUUUGGAAAGAACUGUAAGAAGAGGAAAUGCUUCUUACUUGACGGUACCAUUCAAGAAAGCCACGGCUAAACUACGUGCCAGCAGCCGACGG